Molecule: ribosomal RNA, 400 nt
Filed under: uncultured bacterium
Lineage: Bacteria
Description: bacterial SSU rRNA
Rfam family: Bacterial small subunit ribosomal RNA
Source: RNAcentral
GACGAACGCUGGCGGCGUGCUUAACACAUGCAAGUCGAGCGGUAAGGCCCUUUCGGGGUACGACGAGCGGCGAACGGGUGAGUAACACGUGGGUGACCUCGCCCUCCAGUUCUUGGGAGUAAAGCCUCGGGAAACCGGGGUACCUAAUACUGGAUAUGACCUCAUGACGCAUGUUGUGGGGUGGAAAGCCUUGUGCGACUGAGGAUGGGCCCGCGGCCUAUCAGCUUGUUGGUGGGGUGAUGGCCUACUAAGGCGACGACGGGUAGCCGGCCUGAGAGGGCGACCGGCCACACUGGGACUGAGACACGGCCCAGACUCCUACGGGAGGCAGCAGUGGGGAAUCUUGCGCAAUGGGCGAAAGCCUGACGCAGCGACGCCGCGUGAGGGAUGACGGCCUGUG